GACUGUAGCCUCUUCAAAAAUGUCUUGGUCUGUCGGGUCUGUCGGGUAGUCGGGUCGUCUGUCGGGUGGUCUAAUGUCGCGUUCCCCAUGCACAUUGUUGGAAAUAAUGGGUGCAGUUUUUUUUCGUCGAACAAAUUAAACGUUAAUGUGCAGCUAUAGGUGGGUUGUUGUUGCUCUCCCUUGUAAAUCUACCCUUUUUCACCCAAUUGUUAAUCUAAUUCUUUUUGGAACGUUCGGAUGUCGCCCAAAAACAAGCGGAAGGCCAUUGGAGGCGUUAUGCCAUUUCCCGAAAUUGAACAUUCAAAAAAUGUGGUAUAUGUUCGCAAAUUGUUAAAAUAUAUUCAGAGUGGUCAUAAAGUAUGACUGUAACAGGGUACUUAGGCUUCUAAAAGUGAAGAACAGCUCUGACGUCUUUGGUAAUUGGAAAAGGUAGGCUACUGCAAAGAGAAGCGUCACAUGACGUAAAACCGUCUUGCAACCAGAAGUUGAUAUUCUAGGUUUUUGUGUUUAAAAUUGGAAUUAUUGGAAGUCUAGUCAAUCAAUUAGUAUUAUUUGGAAUUAGUAAAGUUCAAGUACUUAAAAGCAAGAAUUGUACGGAUUUCAAAGUAAAAUCUAUUGGGUUUCAGGAGGAAAAACUAGAUGGCGUUGAUGUGCGUUUUCUAUAAAUAUUACGAGCGACAAGUUAAAUGGAUGUUUGUUAAGUUUCUACCCUAUCUAGUGUUUCAAAGGCUUUUUCAUCAAAUAUUAACAGUGUGUUAUCUGUUCAGUAUUGCUACCAUUGGACAUGUAUUGAAAAGAAAAUCCUUAAAAUAAAAAGUUUUUUGUGUGUGGUAAGGUUUCACUUUGUCAGCUACUGAACCACUACACCGCUAACUAAACGCGUAAAUACCGCUACGCGAACGGGGUUAGUCGGGAGGCUAUCGAGAACUUUGCGAACACCGAGAGCCGUUGAGUUUCAAUUUCUCAAAAGUCGGGCUUAAUUCGCUUACGGGGAGGGCAUUCAAGUUCAGCUUCUAAGUAGGGUGUGCCUUAAGGACUGAAGUAAAUUGUUACUAGUAGAUGGCAAUGCAAGUUCUCCAAAAAAUAGCUACAGACAUCUAGUGGACUAAUUUUCAACUACCCUGAAUUUUUGUCACCCAUUAUUGCGAUACCAUAGAAUGAGUGAUCCCGAACAAAACGUGAUCUUAGUGUCUGUCAUUUCUGUUACUUUUUUGCGUUCCGAAGGAUAAUUCAACUAUAAUUUUACGGUAGUUUAUUUACCAUUUAGUUAGUUUUGUUAACAGCUAAGCAAGCUACUGAACCAUAUAAUUGUGAGCCACCCUCUUUCUUCACUUUCCAUCAUGCUAUUGCACACUGAGAGAAUUCACAUUCUACCCACCACCGUCCUAUUAGCAUGAUUCUUUUUUAAUAUACAGUUCAUGGAAAUAAAAGCGCAAGAGAUGCUGACAAUAGAGAAUUACAGCUCUCAUCUUCCUUCUCUGCAAAAUUGCCAUUUCAACAAUUUAUUCAGUUUCGACCCAAUUGGAUCACAAGCAACUACACUAUUUUCCUCUUCACACCGGUACAAAAUCCACCAUCAGAACUACGGCCUUGCUGUCUUCUUCCUUCGCCUUCGCCUCAUCGCUGUCAUCCUCUACGCUUUUGCCUUUGGGUCAUCGCUGUCUUCGCCUACGCCUUCUCCUUUGCGUCAUCGCUGUCUUCGUAUCGUUCUCCGUCCUCGAUCCAGCAAUUAAAGAACGACAUGGCUUAGCAAAACAAAAAAGAUAGCCAAAAAGCAUGCAGUUCAGCAGACAGCCCACGGCGAUGAAGGAAGUUCACCGUGGAUCGUCGCCCUGGUAUUGUUUUGUUUUGCAUUGUAGUGUAUAAGUUAACCCGUUGGCUGCCACCCCGUUUGCGCCCCAUUUUUUUUGUAGCUUUUAGGGACCGGGCGCUGUUCUGCCUCGUGCAUGAGGGGGAACAGUCGCCGCGCCUAAAGGCUUUGUGCCUUUAGGCGCCGUAGGCAAUGCACCAGUAGGGCCUCUCUUUGUCGGUGCGGUGAUAGAUUCCUGGGGUGUGCAUUCCCGGAAUGGUUUCUAUCAUCUUACCAACCCGGACUUGUCUUCGGACAAGUCCCACCUUGUUCGCGAUCCUUCUGACGUGAUGCGUAGCAACUGUAGUUACAGCAACCUAUGGGUUGCGUGGCCUGGCAGCCAACGGGUUAACUUAGUGUAAAUGUAUGUUCAUUUGUGUAUGUAUUUAUGUUUAUCUAAAGUGUUAUGUAAAAUAGUGGUGGAAUUGAUGGGAGGAGGUGGGACAAUACAAAAAAAUUCCUAUGUA
RNAcentral lists this unclassified non-coding RNA (2316 nucleotides) under Daphnia magna. Its description in RNAcentral is "uncharacterized LOC116932016, transcript variant X4". Lineage: Eukaryota; Metazoa; Arthropoda; Branchiopoda; Diplostraca; Daphniidae. The record is from RNAcentral.